AGAUCAGAGUCCAGGUGGCAGACAGGCUCGUGGUCAAGGCAGGCAGAAUGGUCAGGCAGGCGGGUACAGAGUCCAGAACAGGCAAGGGUGGACUAGAAACCGGGAGGACUAGAAAAAGGAGAAUAGCAAAAGGAGUAUGGGACAAACACGCUGGUUGACUAAACAUACAAGACGAACUGGCACAGGGAGACGGGAAACACAGGGAUAAAUACACUGGUAACCAGGACCUGAGCCCUAGGACCAUGCCUCAGGACUACCUGGCCUGAUGACUCCUUGCUGUCCCCAGUCCACCUGGCCGUGCUGCUGCUCCAGUUUCAACUGUUCUGCCUGUGGUUAUGGAACCCUGACCUGUUCACUGGACGUGCUACCUGUCCCAGACCUGCUGUUUUCAACUCUGUAGAGACAGCAGGAGCGGUAGAGACACUCUGAAUGAUCGGCUAUGAAAAGCCAACUGAUAUUUACUCCUGAGGUACUGACCUGUUGCAACCUCGACAACCACUAAGAUUAUUAUUAUUUGACCCUGCUGGUCAUCUAUGAAGAUUUGAACAUCUUGGCCAUGUUCUGUUAUAAUCUCCACCCGGCACAGCCAGAAGAGGACUGGCCACCCCUCAUAGCCUGGUUCCUCUCUAGGUUUCUUCCUAGGUUCUAGCCUUUAUAGGGAGCUUUUCCUAGCCACCGUGCUUCUACACCUGCAUUGCUUGCUGUUUGGGGUUUUAGGCUGGGUUUCUGUACAGCACUUUAAGAUAUCAGCUGAUGUAAGAAGGGCUAUAUAAAUACAUUUGAUUUGAUUUGAUAUAACAUAUUAUGUGUAAAUAUGCAGUGAGGGAUUGCAGUCUUCUGGAAGAUCUGUUGAAGGAGAAGAUGGUGGAUAAGAAAAAAGGAGAAAAGUGGAAUAUGUUUUGAGUGAAUAUGGAAUGAAGUAUAUCAAAACUUUUGGAAGAGCAGAACGAAAUUGAACCUGACAAGAGUGAGGAUGAGUUAACUGCGGUGGCAGGUACAGUGAUGACAGCCGAGAAGGAGCUGAGUGUAGAGGGAAGCAGUGUGGUGAAGAAGGGGCUGAGUGUAGAGGGAAGCAGUGUAGUGAGGAUGGUUGGCGUCAAGUGCAAAAAGAGGUAUACGUCAAAUGAAAUUUUAUUGGUCACAUACACAUGGUUAGCAGAUGUUAAUGUGAGUGUAGUGAAAUGCUUGUUCUCCAGUAGAUCAGAGAUGGAACCUGACGAGCGUGAGGAUGAAGUACCUGCGGUGAGGACUGCUGAGUUUGGACAUGAUAAAGAAGAAUAUGGUCCAAUAGAAGUGACAUUUUUGGAGAAAGUGGACCCUUGCCUUUUGGCAGAUCCAUUUGUGGUUUCAGGGUGGGUGUGAAAGGAUUUGGGUGCAGUUGAAUCAGUGAAGGUAACAAGUAGUGGACUUGUGCUAUUUGUUUGUGUCUCUUCUGACCAGAGGGAGUAGGCGCCCAGUGUCACGCAACUUUGGUCAAGAUCUGUUUCUUCCUUAGCUCUUAGGAACAGAGCACCAUUGAAAGGAGUGAUUUCUGGGGUAGCCUUAAGUGUGGAGGUGGAGCAAUUGAAGUUGAAGAUUGUUGGUGUUUGUGACGCCCGCCAUUUGGUGCGUCGCAGACCUGGUGGGGUGCGUGGUGAAACAGAGUAGUCAUUGUCAGUCCUUUUUUAGUCAGAGUCUCUACCAGACAAGCUCAUGUUCUGAUAAAUCAGUUAUCCUGUUAGAGCUUUUGUGCCGAAUCCACUGCAGUGUUUCAGGUGCCACGUUUAUGGGACAGAGGAUUGUUUAGUUUUGGUGGAUAAAGUUGUGGUGUUAACUGUAGGGGUGCCCAUGUUGCUGGGGAUCGUAAGUGUCCGGUGCAAGAGAAGCAGGUUGAAGUGGCUAGCGUCAGAGUAGUGCAGAAGGUGCCAUAUGCUGAGACAGUGAAGAAAGUAGAGGAAGAUGGGUCAAGGGUGAGGGAUCCCGAGAGGAUCCCUGUGAGUAGUAGAUCUGUGCCAGCACAGAGGUAUAGGUCAACGAGUGAUUUAUGCUUCAGUAAGGUUGGCUUCUUAGCAUUCAUGGCAAUGGUUAUCAACUGUAUCGCACAAAUGGAAUGUAAAUCACAGAAAAUAGAUGUUAUGGUGGCAGCUGCAAAGAUGUAUUUGGGUAUACAAGAUUUGACUUCAGAAGAGUUACAGGGUGUGUUGAGGGGUGGUGUCCCGUCCUCCCAAGCCGUUGGCAUGGUGCAGGAGCAGAUAGGUUCAAAGUAGUGGAAUGAGGUAGUGGGUUUUGAAUGAGUCUACGUGGUGGUGUCUAGGGCUAUUUUUCCAUUUCUUAGAGGAACCGGACUAAUGGAGAGAAUUUGAUGUACAGUAGGUAGGCUGUGACUAGCCUCACUCUCCAGUACAGUAGGUGGCGGUGUAUGCACCUACAAGCUGGAUGCGAUCCACCAACCAGAUUCCAAAGAUGAAGAAGUUUGGCUGGGGAACAAAAUCAAAACAAGAGCAACAAGGCAGAUAUUAUCAGAUACAUGGGCUACACAUACUGAGACAGAGGAGUGCUGUUUCGCUCGCUCUGAGGAUUUCUCCGGUGACCUUCAGCCACCUGCGAAUUGACGGAAAGUUAUGAAAACACAGAUAGAGAUGAACAACAUUUUAAAUACAUUUUAUUUUAUUAUUGAUGAAAUAUUUGGUGAAUCCUGGCUUCCCUUGGCAUCCAUGAAUACACUUCACUACUCAGAUACAGUGCAUUCGGAAAGAAUUCAGACAGCUUGACUUUUUCCACAUUUUUUACAUUAGUCUUAUUCUAAAAUGCAUAAAAUAUUUUUUCAACUAUGGGACUUUAUAUAAACAGGUGUGUGCCUUUCCAAAUCAUGUCCAAUCAAUUGAAUUUACCACAGGUGUUCUCCAAGUUGUAGAAACAUCUCGAGGAUGAUCAAUGGAAACGGGAUGCACCUGAGCUCAAUUUCAAGACUCAUAGCAAAGGGUCUGAAUAGUUAUGCAAAUGAGUUCUUUCGUGAAUUUGCUAACAUUUCUAGCUUUGUCUUUAUGGAGUAUGUGUGUGUACAUUGAGGGCCAUUUAUUUUUUUUAUCCAUUUUUGAAAAAGGCUGUAACGGAAUGAGGAAAAAGUCAAGGGGUCUGAAUACUUGCAGAAUGCACUGUAUGUAAGGGAUAAUGAACGAGGGGCUAUGUGUUGUUCUAUGGAAAGUAAUGGACGACGGGAAAAGUGUGAACUGACCUUUAAACAGAGAUGCAUUAUUUUCCAGAGAACGCAUAGAGCCUCGAGUUGAUUAUUCCUUUUAUACCACGGCUAUAAUUGAACACAUUUGCCUCCCAGUAGGAUCAGAGUUCUCUUUUCCAGUAGGGGAGUUUUAGUUUUCUGCCUACUUGGCAGGUGUAAAGUGUCCAUGCUUUGAGUAUCCUGCCCCCCGCGGUAGGUUUAGAGUUCCCUACCUUCCUGGUUGGUCCAAUCUAUCCUGCCCCCUUGGUAGGCUCUCAGUUUAUGGCUUUACCCAAUCAAUCAAUCAAAUGUAUUUAUAAAGCCCUUUAACAUCAACCAAUGUAACAAAGUGCUAUAGAGAAACCCAGCCUAAAACCCCAAACAGCAAGCAAUGCAGAUGUUUAAGCACGCUGGCUAAGAAAAACUUCCUAGAAAGACAGGAACCUAGGAAGAAACCAAGAGGAACCAGGCUCUGAGGGAUAGCCAGUCCUCUUCUGGCUGUGCUGGGUUGAGAUUAUAACAGUACAUGGCCAAGAUGUUCAAACUAUCAUGGAUGACCAGCAGGGUCUAAUAAUAAUCACUACCGCAGAAGUUGUAGUGCAACAGGUCAGCAACUCAGGAUUAAAUGUCAGUUGGCCUUACAUAGCCGAGCAUUCAUAGUUAGAGACAUCAGGUGCGCUAGAGAGAGAGAGAGAGUCGAAACAGCAGGUCCGGUAUAAGGUAGCACGUCUGGUGAACAGGUCAGGGUUCCAUAGCCGUGGGCAGAACAGUUGAAACUGGAGCAGCAACACGACCAGAUGGACUGGGGACAGCAAGGAGUCACCGGGCCAGCUAGUCCUGAGGCAUGGUCCCAGGGCUCAGGUCCUCCGGGAGGGGAGGGGGAGAGAGAGAGAGAAUUAGAGGGAGCAUACUUAAAUUCACACAGUUCACCGGAUAAGACAGGAGAAAUACUCCAGACAUAACAGACUGACCCUAGCCCCCCGACACAAACUAUUGCAGCAUAAAUACUGGAGGCUGAGACAGGAGGGGUCGGGAGACACUGUGUCCCCGUCCGACAAUACCCCCGGACAGGGCCAACCAGGCAGGAUAUAACUCCACACACUUUGCUAAAGCACAGCCCCCACACUACUAGAGGGAUAUCUUCAAACCACCAACUUACUACCCUGAGACAAGGCUGAGUAUAACCCACAAAGAUCUCCACCACGGCACGAACCUGAGGGGCCGCCCUCAGUCUCAGGCCCCAGUUGCAGGUUCAAACUUGUCUGACUUAGGUUCCCAGACUCCAGCCAUAGUGCUAGGCCCCCAGUCCUCAACCGUUCUAGGUCUACAGUCUCCUGCACUAGUGGGUCCUAAGUUUGCUGCUCUGCCAGGCCAUAGGCACCCUACCCAGCUUGGCCCCAUGUUUGCUUCGCCGUUAGGCCUGCAGUCUGCUGCCCUGCUCAGAUCGCAGCCCCCUGACUUAGUUGGUAGGCACUUGCCUAGCCUGCUAGGUUUAGGACCUCCUGCCAUUCUAGGCCCAGAGUUUGUUGUACUAGGUUUGCUGUCUCCACGGUUCUUCAGCCUGCCAGGCUUAGAGCUUCCUGUCCUGCUGGGCCAAAAGUUCUGUGCUAGGUUCUCAGUCCUCAGCCCCCCUUGGCCCUCAUUCGCUAGCACUAGGUCCUCAGUCUCCUGCUGUACUAGCUGUGAUCUCCUAUCCCUCAGUCGUUUUUCCCCGUCAGGUCCAGAGUCGUUUUUCCCCGUCAGGUCCAGAGUCGUUUUUCCCCGUCAGGUCCAGAGUCGUUUUUUCCCCGUCAGGUCCAGAGUCGUUUUUCCCCGUCAGGUCCAGAGUCGUUUUUCCCCGUCAGGUCCAGAGUCGUUUUUCCCCGUCAGGUCCAGAGUCGUUUUUCCCCGUCAGGUCCAGAGUCAGUUUCCCCGUCAGGUCCAGAGUCAGUUUCCCCGUCAGGUCCAGAGUCAGUUUCCCCGUCAGGCCCAAUGUUAUCAGCACUUGUCUCCCAGCCUUCAGUCGUUGCGGUUUUGCUGUCUCCAGCUCUAGUUGGCCCUGUCUACUGCUCCGCCAGGCUAUAGGUUCUCUUCCCCACUAGGUCUGCAGCCUCUGCCCUCAGUUGGUCCGCAACCCACAGCCAGCAAGCAGUCAGCUCCCUCAGUGCUUCUCGCCAAAUCUCCUGCCCUAGUUUUAGGCCCUGGUUUUCCCGUCUUACUAAACCCUGAGUUAUCUAUUCCUUUAGGUGUGCAGUCCCUGCUCCUAGCCAGUUCGCAGUACCCAGCCUCAUUCGGCACCCAGUCGCCUAUACUAGCACUAGGCUACAAGUUCCCUGCUUAGAUAGGUUUGCAGCCUCCCACCAUACCUGGCUUGCAAUCCUCAGUUUUAGGGCCUGACAGUUCAGGGGACUUACUGCUGAGUUUCCUGCCCUGCUAGGCCCUCAGCCCCCUGACCUGGGGGACCCACGUUCCCUGACCAUGGUGGCCUGCUCUCUCCAGUUCUGGAGGGCCACUUGCCUCCUGCACUGGAAGACCCUCCGGCCCUUGCACCUGUGGAACCACCUGACCUCGUCUCUGGGGACCAGCCGGCCCCUGCCUCUAGAUCCCCGAGGAGCCUUGCCUAUGGGUCCCCAACUGCUCCACCAUGCAAGCCAUUGCCUUCAGCAGUGGACCUAAGCCCUAGGACCAUGCCUCAGGACUACCUGGCCUGAUGACUCCUUGCUGUCCCCAGUCCACCUGACCGUGCUGCUGCUCCAGUUUCAACUGUUCUGUCUGACCGCUAUGCAACCCUGACCUGUUCACCGGACGUGCUACCUGUUCCAGACCUGCUGUUUUCAACUCUCUAGAGACAGCAGGAGCGGUAGAGAUACUCUUAAUGAUCGGCUAUGAAAAGCCAACUGACAUUUACUCCUGAGGUGCUGACUUGUUGCACCCUCGACAACUACUGUGAUUAUUAUUAUUUGACCAUGCUGGUCAUUUAUGAACAUUUGAACAUCUUGGCCAUGUUCUGUUAUAAUCUCCACCCGGCACAGCCAGAAGAGGACUGGCCACCCCUCAUAGCCUGGUUCCUCUCUAGGUUUCUUCCUAGGUUCUAGCCUUUAUAGGGAGUUUUUCCUAGCCACCUGCAUUGCUUGCUGUUUGGGGUUUUAGGCUGGGUUUCUGAACAGCAAUAUGAGAUAUCAGCUGAUGUAAGAAGGGCUAUAUAAAUACAUUUGAUUUGAUUUAGAUUGAAGACCAUUAACAUUUGGUUGAUUUGUUGAAUCAGUUGUGUUAUAGAUUGUUUACCUAAGCAGUCCAUAUAUUUAUUCCAGACUGUGAAUACAAUAAGACUUCAUGUCAUUCUGGUGUCAGGGAGGUAAACCGGAAAAGACUCCUGUUCUGUUUUGGUAUUUACUGUUCUUCUCCAUGGUGACCACCACAGACAUUUCUGUGACUAGGUUUGGUGGUGUAAUUGAGCUGAUAUGUAAAUUCCCCUGUACCGCUGCUCUAUGCUUGGCUGAGAGACCGCUGUGGGAACAAUAAUGAAACAGAAUACCAGAUUAUACAUUUAAAAACUUUCUAUCAGUUUGUGUCCAGAUGAUGGAUUUUGGUCAAUAGGAGUGGAACUCAACCUGUUCCCUCUCCUGUCCCUUUCCUCUUUGUAGGUCUGAGCAUGAACUCACCAGUUUUAUAAACAGAUUGUACAGAUUGUACUGCUAUUCUUUUGUGUUGUGCUGUGUAAAUAAACACAU
Molecule: long non-coding RNA, 6906 nt
Organism: Salvelinus fontinalis (brook trout)
Lineage: Eukaryota; Metazoa; Chordata; Actinopteri; Salmoniformes; Salmonidae
Exons: 4
Source: RefSeq, a predicted model, not a curated record